GAUAAAACGCUGGCGGCGUGCCUAACACAUGCAAGUCGAACGAUCCCGCAAGGGAGAGUGGCGGAAGGGUGAGUAACACGUGGGAAUCUACCUCCUCGCAGGGAACAACCUCUCGAAAGAGAGGCUAAUACCCAAAAGGGUCAGAAAUGAUCAGAGUCGAAAGGCGUGAGGAGAGGAGCCCGCGGCCCAUCAGCUAGUUGGUGAGGUAAUGGCUUACCAAGGCUACGACGGGUAGGGGAUCUGAGAGGAUGUCCCCCACACUGGAACUGAAACACGGUCCAGACGCCUACGGGUGGCAGCAGUGAGGAAUAUUGGACAAUGGGCGAAAGCCCGAUCCAGCAACGCCGCGUGGAGGAUGAAGGCCUUCGGGUCGUAAACUUCUUUAGAGGGAGACGAGAAAGGACGGUAUCCCUAGAAUAAGCGACGGCAAACUACGUG
This 438-nucleotide ribosomal RNA is filed under the name uncultured bacterium. RNAcentral's name for it is "bacterial SSU rRNA". It matches the Rfam family "Bacterial small subunit ribosomal RNA", at positions 32 to 507 of the family's 1533-position model. The record is from RNAcentral.